AUUCCAGCUCCAAUAGCGUAUAUUAAAGUUGUUGCAGUUAAAAAGCUCGUAGUUGGAUUUCUGGCGUGAGGUGCUUGACCCGCCGCGGUUACGCGUGUGAGUGUCGGUGUGCCUCGGCCAUCCUUCUAGAAAUUGGCUCUGCCCUUCAUUGGGUUGGGGUCAGGAUCUAGAUCUUUUACUUUGAAAAAAUUAGAGUGUUUAAAGCAAGCGUUGCGUGAAUACAUUAGCAUGGAAUAAUAACUUAGGACUUCGGUUCUAUUUUGUUGGUUUCUAGGACUGAAGUAAUGAUUGAUAGGGAUAGUUGGGGGUGCUAGUAUUCAGCGGCCAGAGGUGAAAUUCUUGGAUUCGCUGAAGACUAACUUAUGCGAAAGCAUUCACCAAGGAUGUCUUCAUUA
Molecule: ribosomal RNA, 395 nt
Filed under: Thecofilosea sp.
Lineage: Eukaryota; Cercozoa; Thecofilosea
Description: partial small subunit ribosomal RNA
Rfam family: Eukaryotic small subunit ribosomal RNA
Source: RNAcentral